Molecule: ribosomal RNA, 326 nt
Filed under: uncultured eukaryote
Lineage: Eukaryota
Description: partial 18S ribosomal RNA
Rfam family: Eukaryotic small subunit ribosomal RNA
Source: RNAcentral
CCCUUAGUUGUUCUGGGCCGCACGCGCGCUACACUGAUGCAUUCAACAAGCCUAGCCUUGACCGAGAGGUCCGGGUAAUCUUUGAAACUGCAUCGUGAUGGGGCUAGAUUAUUGCAAUUAUUAAUCUUCAACGAGGAAUGCCUAGUAAGCGUGAUUCAUCAAAUCGCGUUGAUUACGUCCCUGCCCUUUGUACACACCGCCCGUCGCUCCUACCGAUUGAAUGUGUUGGUGAGGAGCUCGGAUUGGCAGCAGUUGGUGGUUCGCCACCGGCUAUUGCUGAGAAGUCCUCCAAACCGCCCCAUUUAGAGGAAGGAGAAGUCGUAACA